This 256-nucleotide ribosomal RNA is filed under the name uncultured bacterium. RNAcentral's name for it is "partial 16S ribosomal RNA". It matches the Rfam family "Bacterial small subunit ribosomal RNA", at positions 335 to 607 of the family's 1533-position model. The record is from RNAcentral.
AUCCCUACGGGAGGCAGCAGUGGGGAAUAUUGCACAAUGGGGGAAACCCUGAUGCAGCAACGCCGCGUGAGUGAAGAAGUAUUUCGGUAUGUAAAGCUCUAUCAGCAGGGAAGAAGAAAGACGGUACCUGACUAAGAAGCCCCGGCUAACUACGUGCCAGCAGCCGCGGUAAUACGUAGGGGGCAAGCGUUAUCCGGAUUUACUGGGUGUAAAGGGAGCGUAGACGGCUGUGCAAGUCUGAAGUGAAAGCCCGUGG